GGGCAUCUACCUGAGGGAGGCUAGUGCUUUCCAACAAUCUACUGAGUGGACAGUGGAAGUUGAUCCAAAAUUUCAUGAGGAUGCCAACAAAAUUGAAGAAUUGGCUGUGUUUGAGGAGCACAUUGAAUUACAUUCUACAGAUAGCUCAGUUGUGAAAGCCCCUGAUUAUCUACUGCUCACUAAGAAUGGUCGUACCUUCAACAACAUUUGGAUUGACUCUGAGUAUGCACCAUAUGGAACCUCGAGUGUAUAUUGGGUGCAUAAAAUCCGGCCCUGUGCUUGCUCAGAAGUAAGAAAAGCUUCGCUUUUACUUUUUAGAUAAAUUAAAUUCGAAUCCAUUUUCUAGUGUAACUGUUUUACCACAGGGGAGUGAAAUAUCAUAAACAUGAAUACUGGAAGUUUGGUGAGGUAUCAAUGAAGAUUAUGCAAUGAAGAUUAA
This is a long non-coding RNA of Arachis stenosperma, 439 nucleotides long. RefSeq lists it as uncharacterized. NCBI's taxonomy places the organism in Eukaryota, Viridiplantae, Streptophyta, Magnoliopsida, Fabales, Fabaceae. The record is from RefSeq and is a predicted model, not a curated record. The transcript has 4 exons.